CCAAGUUUUUAAGGGCGCACGGUGGAUGCCUUGGCACCAGGAACCGAUGAAGGACGUGGGAGGCCACGAUAGGCCCCGGGGAGCUGUCAACCGAGCUUUGAUCCGGGGGUGUCCGAAUGGGGAAACCCGGCAGUCGUCAUGGGCUGUCACCCGCUGCUGAACACAUAGGCAGUGUGGAGGGAACGCGGGGAAGUGAAACAUCUCAGUACCCGCAGGAAGAGAAAACAACCGUGAUUCCGGGAGUAGUGGCGAGCGAAACUGGAUGAGGCCAAACCAGUCACGUGUGAUACCCGGCAGGGGUUGCGUGGUUGGGGUUGUGGGAUCUCUCUUUUGCAGUCUGCCGGCUGUGAGGCGAGUCAGAAACCGUUGAUGUAGGCGAAGGACAUGCGAAAGGUCCGGCGUAGAGGGUAAGACCCCCGUAGCUGAAACAUUAGCGGCUCGUUUGAGAGACACCCAAGUAGCACGGGGCCCGAGAAAUCCCGUGUGAAUCUGGCGGGACCACCCGUUAAGCCUAAAUAUUCCCUGGUGACCGAUAGCGGAUAGUACCGUGAGGGAAUGGUGAAAAGUACCGCGGGAGCGGAGUGAAAUAGUACCUGAAACCGUGUGCCUACAAGCCGUGGGAGCGUCGCGCAGAGAACUUGUUCUUUGCGUCGUGACUGCGUGCCUUUUGAAGAAUGAGCCUGCGAGUUUGCGGUAUGUUGCGAGGUUAACCCGUGUGGGGAAGCCGUAGCGAAAGCGAGUCCGAAUAGGGCGUGGAGUAGCAUGCUCAAGACCCGAAGCGGAGUGAUCUAGCCAUGGGCAGGUUGAAGCGGAGGUAAGACUUCGUGGAGGACCGAACCCACCAGGGUUGAAAACCUGGGGGAUGACCUGUGGUUAGGGGUGAAAGGCCAAUCAAACUCCGUGAUAGCUGGUUCUCCCCGAAAUGCAUUUAGGUGCAGCGUCGUGUGUUUCUUGCCGGAGGUAGAGCACUGGAUAGGCGAUGGGCCCUACCGGGUUACUGACCUUAGCCAAACUCCGAAUGCCGGUAAGUGAGAGCGCGGCAGUGAGACUGUGGGGGAUAAGCUCCAUGGUCGAGAGGGAAACAGCCCAGAGCAUCGACUAAGGCCCCUAAGCGUGUGCUAAGUGGGAAAGGAUGUGGAGUCGCAGAGACAACCAGGAGGUUGGCUUAGAAGCAGCCACCCUUGAAAGAGUGCGUAAUAGCUCACUGGUCAAGUGAUUCCGCGCCGACAAUGUAGCGGGGCUCAAGUACACCGCCGAAGUCGUGUCAUUGCGAUAUUACUCCUAACGGGGAUCGUGAUGGGUAGGGGAGCGUCGUGUGCCGGGUGAAGCAGCCGUGGAAACGAGUUGUGGACGGUUCACGAGUGAGAAUGCAGGCAUGAGUAGCGAUACAAGAGUGGGAAACUCUUGCGCCGAUUGACUAAGGGUUCCUGGGUCAAGCUGAUCUGCCCAGGGUAAGUCGGGACCUAAGGCGAGGCCGACAGGCGUAGUCGAUGGACAACCGGUUGAUAUUCCGGUACCCGCUUUGAAGCGCCCAAUACUGAAUCAGGCGAUGCUAAGUCCGUGAAGCCGCCCUGGAGCCUUCGGGCAAAGGGGAGUGGUGGAGCCGACGGACCAGACUUGUAGUAGGUAAGCGAUGGGGUGACGCAGGAAGGUAGUCCAGCCCGGGCGGUGGUUGUCCCGGGGUAAGGGUGUAGGCCGUGUGGUAGGUAAAUCCGUCGCACGUUAAGGCUGAGACCUGAUGCCGAGCCGAUUGUGGUGAAGUGGAUGAUCCUAUGCUGUCGAGAAAAGCCUCUAGUGAGUUUCAAGGCGGCCCGUACCCUAAACCGACUCAGGUGGUCAGGUAGAGAAUACCGAGGCGUUCGGGUGAACUAUGGUUAAGGAACUCGGCAAAAUGCCCCCGUAACUUCGGGAGAAGGGGGGCCAUUUCUGGUGAGGGAACUUGCUUCCUGAGCUGGGGGUGGCCGCAGAGACCAGCGAGAAGCGACUGUUUACUAAAAACACAGGUCCGUGCGAAGCCGUAAGGCGAUGUAUACGGACUGACGCCUGCCCGGUGCUGGAACGUUAAGGGGACCGGUUAGCUUGGAUUCGUUCAGGCGAAGCUGAGAACUUAAGCGCCAGUAAACGGCGGUGGUAACUAUAACCAUCCUAAGGUAGCGAAAUUCCUUGUCGGGUAAGUUCCGACCUGCACGAAUGGCGUAACGACUUCUCGACUGUCUCAACCAUAGGCCCGGUGAAAUUGCAUUACGAGUAAAGAUGCUCGUUUCGCGCAGCAGGACGGAAAGACCCCGGGACCUUUACUAUAGCUUGAUAUUGGUGUUCGGUUCGGCUUGUGUAGGAUAGGUGGGAGACUGUGAAGCGCCAACGCCAGUUGGUGUGGAGUCGUUGUUGAAAUACCACUCUGGUCGUGCUGGAUGUCUAACCUGGGUCCGUGAUCCGGAUCAGGGACAGUGUCUGGUGGGUAGUUUAACUGGGGCGGUUGCCUCCUAAAGAGUAACGGAGGCGCCCAAAGGUUCCCUCAGCCUGGUUGGUAAUCAGGUGUUGAGUGUAAGUGCACAAGGGAGCUUGACUGUGAGACUGACGGGUCGAGCAGGUACGAAAGUAGGGACUAGUGAUCCGGCGGUGGCUUGUGGAAGCGCCGUCGCUCAACGGAUAAAAGGUACCCCGGGGAUAACAGGCUGAUCUUCCCCAAGAGUCCAUAUCGACGGGAUGGUUUGGCACCUCGAUGUCGGCUCGUCGCAUCCUGGGGCUGGAGUCGGUCCCAAGGGUUGGGCUGUUCGCCCAUUAAAGCGGUACGCGAGCUGGGUUUAGAACGUCGUGAGACAGUUCGGUCCCUAUCCGCUGUGCGCGUAGGAGUCUUGAGAAGGGCUGUCCCUAGUACGAGAGGACCGGGACGGACGAACCUCUGGUGUGCCAGUUGUUCUGCCAAGGGCAUGGCUGGUUGGCUACGUUCGGAAAGGAUAACCGCUGAAAGCAUCUAAGCGGGAAGCCUGCUUCGAGAUGAGGGCUCCCUCCUCCUUGAGAGGGUAAGGCUCCCAGUAGACGACUGGGUUGAUAGGCCAGAUAUGGAAGCACUGUAAGGUGUGGAGUUGACUGGUACUAAUAGGCCGAGGGCUUGUCCUC
Molecule: ribosomal RNA, 3120 nt
Filed under: Streptomyces noursei
Lineage: Bacteria; Bacillati; Actinomycetota; Actinomycetes; Kitasatosporales; Streptomycetaceae
Description: 23S ribosomal RNA
Rfam family: Bacterial large subunit ribosomal RNA
Source: RNAcentral